UCUCAGUUCAGAUUGCAGGCUGCAACCCGCCUGCAUGAAGUCGGAAUUGCUAGUAAUCGCGGAUCAGCAUGCCGCGGUGAAUACGUUCCCGGGCCUUGUACACACCGCCCGUCACACCAUGGGAGCCGGUAAUACCCGAAGUCAGUAGUCCAACCUCGUGAGGACGCUGCCGAAGGUAGGAUUGGCGACUGGGGUGAAGUCGUAACAAGGUACC
This 214-nucleotide ribosomal RNA is filed under the name uncultured bacterium. Its description in RNAcentral is "partial 16S ribosomal RNA". It matches the Rfam family "Bacterial small subunit ribosomal RNA", at positions 1286 to 1500 of the family's 1533-position model. The record is from RNAcentral.